UACAGAGGCCCCAAGCGUUGCGCGGAAUCACUGGGCUUAAAGGGUGCGUAGGCGGACCCGCAAGUGCUUUGUGAAAUCCCACGGCUCAACCGUGGAAUAGCUUGGCAUACUGCGGGUCUUGAGGUCGGCAGAGGCUGCUGGAACUCUAGGUGUAGCGGUGAAAUGCGUAGAUAUCUAGAGGAACGCCCAAGGCGAAGGCAGGCAGCUGGGCCGAUUCUGACGCUGAGGCACGAAAGCGUGGGUAGCGAACGGG
This 253-nucleotide unclassified non-coding RNA is filed under the name uncultured Phycisphaeraceae bacterium. Its description in RNAcentral is "contains 16S-23S intergenic spacer region". It matches the Rfam family "Bacterial small subunit ribosomal RNA", at positions 524 to 776 of the family's 1533-position model. The record is from RNAcentral. Lineage: Bacteria; Pseudomonadati; Planctomycetota; Phycisphaerae; Phycisphaerales; Phycisphaeraceae.